Molecule: RNA transcript, 2414 nt
Organism: Wyeomyia smithii (pitcher-plant mosquito)
Lineage: Eukaryota; Metazoa; Arthropoda; Insecta; Diptera; Culicidae
Gene name: xaa-Pro aminopeptidase 3-like
Exons: 6
Source: RefSeq, a predicted model, not a curated record
CUGUUAGGUUAGAGGAAAUGAUAAAAACGUAAACAAAUCUGAUUUCACAAGCGCAGGAAUGAAUUUGGUCCGAGUUUAUCAACGUUUCCGACCGGUACAGUUACAAAAUCUCCAGUUCUUCAAUCGCUGCAGUCAUUUCAAUCGGCACUGCUCUUCGAAUGCGGUGCCUCGGAAUCUGCCGAAAGCGGUUUCGCAGCGGGCGUGGGAACGUUCCCAGGAAGCGGGCACCGUUUCCUAUGGACAGCCAAUGCCUGCCACCCAUCCGCAUCUGCUGCAGGAUGGUGAUCUGCUGCCGGGAAUUCGUCUAGCCGAAAUUAAAGCGCGUCGACGCGCUUUGCUUGAGCUGACACGAAAUUACGCCGCAGCCAAUUUGAGUCGAGAUGCUAAAGAACAUCUGAUUAUAAUUCCGUCAGCGAGUAAAAAGUAUAUGAGCGACAAAAUUCCGUACGUCUUCCGGCAGAAUUCGGACUUUCUCUACCUCAGUGGUUGCCUGGAACCGGAUAGUGUUCUAACGUUGGAACUGGACGGUGCGGGUAACGAGCACUGCGUGCUCUACGUGCGACCGAAGGACAGCCACGCCGAGCUUUGGGAUGGCCCCCGAACGGGGGUCGAAUUGGCGCCGGAGGUUUUCGGCGUCGACCGAGCCGCGAAUGUGAUCGAUCUGAAAGCAAACCUGACCCAGUACACUUUUGCGCAUCCUAGUGGAACGAUUUGGUUCGACGAGAAGGCGUGCAAUUUGGACGAUGUUCGGCGAAUUGUGGCCGAUGUUGGUAAGCAAAAUACUGUGCGUUCGCCCGCCGGAUUGGUGCACAAGUUGAGAGUUAUUAAAUCCCCGGCGGAAGUUGAGCUGAUGCGGAAAACUUGUCAGAUUGCUUCAGAGGGAAUUAACCGUACCAUGGGUGGUAGUCAGCCGGGACAAAGCGAGCAUCAGUUGUUUGCGAAGGUGGAUUUCUACUGCCGGAUGGCGGGAGCGAGUUAUCUGGCUUACCCGCCCGUUGUUGCGGGCGGUUCCAAUGCCACCGUUAUACAUUAUAUUAAUAAUACUCAGAUCGUGCGAGACGGUGAAAUGGUACUGAUGGAUGCCGGAUGCGAAUACGGGGGGUAUACGAGUGAUAUAACGCGGACUUGGCCGAUUAACGGAAAGUUCUCGGAACCGCAGCGGAUGUUAUAUCAGGUUCUGCAACAAGUUCAGAAGGAACUGUUGGUCUGCCUGCAGAACAAGGGCGGGGAAACGUUAGAUCAACUGUUUGAUACAAUGUGUUUGAAGAUCGGUAAAUACCUGCAGGAAGUGGGAUUGAUUGCACGCAGCUUGAAAGGGUUGGAUCUGGCGAGGGCAGCGUACAAGUUUUGUCCACACCAUGUUUCACACUAUCUGGGGAUGGAUGUGCAUGACACACCGCAGAUCUCCAGGAGCGUUCCGCUCGCGGCCGGAAUGGUGUGCACCGUGGAACCAGGGAUUUACAUCAACCGACAGCGGAAGGACGUCCCGGAAGAGUUUCGUGGUCUAGGGCUGCGCAUCGAAGAUGAUGUGUUGAUAUGUCCCGAUGGAAAAAUCGAAGUGCUAACGGAAAGCUGCGUGAAAGAUCUGCACCAAAUUGAAGCUCUCGUUGGAUCGCACGACUGUUAAAGUGAGUAAGGUUGGUUGACCGAUCGUUCGAAGUAGCAGCCGUUACAGCCAGCAGCACCAAUACAGCAGCACCAAACAGCCACCAGCAGCGAGCCAGGUGUGAGAUCACUCCACACAGCGAUACGACUCGCUGACACUGAUGGCUUCUUCUUUUUCCUCGUUUGUGUCUCGUCCACUGCUGUAGCACAAUCCAGCCAGCAGCCAAAUCGGCUUACGCACCAGCUGGCAGUCACGAUGCGAAACAGUUGCACAAAGGAACGACCUUGAACCCGGAUUUAUUUCACUCGACCAGGCAAACAAUGCCAACACUUGUUCACACGUCUUUUGUUUUAUACUCUAUCGGACCGAUCACCAAACACGUCCAGUACUGAUGCGUGUUCGGCACAGAAUGAUCCAAAAUUUUGUCAGUCCAACUGUAAGCCGUGAAACCGGUAGGAUGAUUUUAAGAAGAUCAGCUAUUCCAGAUGAAAAUCUUCCACAGCCAAAACGCGACUCGAAGCUAAUAGCACUAGCGACGGCUCGAUCUGAAAGAGUUAGACGACGGGAAAACUCAAAAGUUGUUCCAGAGUUAGAGCAGGCAGAACAGAUGGAAGCAGAUAUCGAUUCAUCUGUGCCUUCUAUUGUAACUGCUGAAGCUGCCGUUCAAGUAAAUACUUCGGAAAUGGAAAAAGUAUUCGCCGGUCGUCGCCGUACCAUGGCAGUGCAAUUUAAAACGGAUGCAGAUCUCACCGCAUGGACUGGACUGAAUUCAUUUAGUUUAUUGCUAACAAUAAAAUCUUCCAUCGAA